CCUACGGGUGGCAGCAGUGAGGAAUAUUGGUCAAUGGACGAGAGUCUGAACCAGCCAAGUAGCGUGAAGGAUGACUGCCCUAUGGGUUGUAAACUUCUUUUAUAUGGGAAUAAAAUGCUCCACGUGUGGGAUUUUGUAUGUACCAUAUGAAUAAGGAUCGGCUAACUCCGUGCCAGCAGCCGCGGUAAUAAGGAGGAUCCGAGCGUUAUCCGGAUUUAUUGGGUUUAAAGGGAGCGUAGGUGGGUUGUUAAGUCAGUUGUGAAAGUUUGCGGCUCAACCGUAAAAUUGCAGUUGAAACUGGCAGUCUUGAGUACAGUAGAGGUGGGCGGAAUUCGUGGUGUAGCGGUGAAAUGCUUAGAUAUCACGAAGAACUCCGAUUGCGAAGGCAGUUCACUGGACUGCAACUGACACUGAGGCUCGAAAGUGUGGGUAUCAAACAGGAUUAGAUACCCUUGUAGUC
RNAcentral lists this ribosomal RNA (460 nucleotides) under uncultured bacterium. RNAcentral's name for it is "partial 16S ribosomal RNA". It matches the Rfam family "Bacterial small subunit ribosomal RNA", at positions 338 to 795 of the family's 1533-position model. The record is from RNAcentral.